CGGUGGCCUAGUGGUUAGAGCGUCCGCCUCGGAUGCGGGAGGUCAUGGAUUCGAAUGGAGAAAGU
Potamilus streckersoni is the source of this 65-nucleotide non-coding RNA. NCBI's taxonomy places the organism in Eukaryota, Metazoa, Mollusca, Bivalvia, Unionida, Unionidae. The record is from the annotation of a GenBank genome assembly.